GAGCACGCCGCGUGAGUGAAGAAGGUUUUCGGAUCGUAAAACUCUGUUGUUAGAGAAGAACAAGGAUGAGAGUAGAACGUUCAUCCCUUGACGGUAUCUAACCAGAAAGCCACGGCUAACUACGUGCCAGCAGCCGCGGUAAUACGUAGGUGGCAAGCGUUGUCCGGAUUUAUUGGGCGUAAAGCGAGCGCAGGCGGUUUCUUAAGUCUGAUGUGAAAGCCCCCGGCUCAACCGGGGAGGGUCAUUGGAAACUGGGAGACUUGAGUGCAGAAGAGGAGAGUGGAAUUCCAUGUGUAGCGGUGAAAUGCGUAGAUAUAUGGAGGAACACCAGUGGCGAAGGCGGCUCUCUGGUCUGUAACUGACGCUGAGGCUCGAAAGCGUGGGGAGCGAACAGGAUUAGAUACCCUGGUAGUCCACGCCGUAAACGAUGAGUGCUAAGUGUUGGAGGGUUUCCGCCCUUCAGUGCUGCAGCAAACGCAUUAAGCACUCCGCCUGGGGAGUACGACCGCAAGGUUGAAACUCAAAGGAAUUGACGGGGGCCCGCACAAGCGGUGGAGCAUGUGGUUUAAUUCGAAGCAACGCGAAGAACCUUACCAGGUCUUGACAUCCUUUGACCACUCUAGAGAUAGAGCUUCCCCUUCGGGGGCAAAGUGACAGGUGGUGCAUGGUUGUCGUCAGCUCGUGUCGUGAGAUGUUGGGUUAAGUCCCGCAACGAGCGCAACCCUUAUUGUUAGUUGCCAUCAUUUAGUUGGGCACUCUAGCGAGACUGCCGGUGACAAACCGGAGGAAGGUGGGGAUGACGUCAAAUCAUCAUGCCCCUUAUGACCUGGGCUACACACGUGCUACAAUGGGAAGU
Molecule: ribosomal RNA, 856 nt
Filed under: Enterococcus gallinarum
Lineage: Bacteria; Bacillati; Bacillota; Bacilli; Lactobacillales; Enterococcaceae
Also listed under: 1 other name
Description: bacterial SSU rRNA
Rfam family: Bacterial small subunit ribosomal RNA
Source: RNAcentral